CGUGGAACGCGGGCGCGUCCGGCGGAACCGCCGCUUCCGGCGCGGGGGGGCGGCGGCGGGAAACCCCACGGCUCGUGGGCCCGGCACGUGUCCCGCCCCGAGCCACGCGGCGCCACUCGACCCCCGCCCGGCUCCGGCUCCGGCCGCGCCAGCCCCUGCGAGACACCGCACGAGUCUGGGCUGGGCGCUCCGCGACGCCGCAGGGCUCACGGGUGUCCGCUUGAAACCCCCCGCUUGAAACCCCCCGCUCCCGCUUUUUGGUUUAAAAAGUAUACAACAGCUGAUUGCAAAAAGUGGCUAAGAUGCACCAUCAUUCAGGAGGAACCAAACAGAGCUGGCAUGUGAAAGAAAAUAUCCAUAUUUGAACAAUUCUCUAUCUUCAUAUGAGCUUAAUCUUUGGACCACUUUAAGUUUUCUUUGAAUUGCCUCAACGCGCAUGGAUUCACUCGGAGUCAUGUCCUUAUGUGACUGCUUCUGAAAUAGAAUUCAACCGAGAUACUGAAGUUCUACGAGAUGACAGCGAGAAAAAAUGAUCAAAAUGCUUGCUAUUUGCAGAAAUAUGGUACUAUAUUAAAGACAAAAAUACUAUUUA
Molecule: long non-coding RNA, 592 nt
Organism: Alligator mississippiensis (American alligator)
Lineage: Eukaryota; Metazoa; Chordata; Crocodylia; Alligatoridae
Exons: 2
Source: RefSeq, a predicted model, not a curated record